UCAAGUAAUUAAGUGCAUGUGGUGGAUGCCUUGGCAGUCAGAGGCGAUGAAAGACGUGAUAGCCUGCGAAAAGCUCCGGGGAGGCGGCAAAUAUCCUUUGAUCCGGAGAUGUCUGAAUGGGGGAACCCACCUACUUUAAGGUAGGUAUUGCAACAUGAAUACAUAGUGUUGCAAGGCGAACGAGGGGAAGUGAAACAUCUCAGUACCCUUAGGAAAAGAAAUCAAUUGAGAUUCCCUCAGUAGCGGCGAGCGAACGGGGAUCAGCCCAUUAAGUUAUGUGUGUUUUAGUGGAACGCUCUGGGAAGUGCGAACGUAGAGGGUGAUAUUCCCGUACACGAAAGGGCACACAUAAUGAUGACGAGUAGGGCGAGGCACGUGAAACCUUGUCUGAAUAUGGGGGGGACCAUCCUCCAAGGCUAAAUACUCCUGACUGACCGAUAGUGAACCAGUACCGUGAGGGAAAGGCGAAAAGAACCCCUGUGAGGGGAGUGAAAUAGAUCCUGAAACCGCAUGCAUACAAGCAGUGGGAGCACCUUCGUGGUGUGACUGCGUACCUUUUGUAUAAUGGGUCAGCGACUUAUAUUCAGUAGCGAGGUUAACCGUAUAGGGGAGCCGUAGAGAAAUCGAGUCUUAAUAGGGCGUUUAGUUGCUGGGUAUAGACCCGAAACCAGGCGAUCUAUCCAUGAGCAGGUUGAAGGUUGGGUAACACUAACUGGAGGACCGAACCCACUGUCGUUGAAAAGCCUGGGGAUGACUUGUGGAUAGGGGUGAAAGGCUAAUCAAGCCUGGUGAUAGCUGGUUCUCCCCGAAAGCUAUUUAGGUAGCGCCUCGGACGAAUACCAUAGGGGGUAGAGCACUGUUUCGGCUAGGGGGUCAUCCCGACUUACCAAACCGAUGCAAACUCCGAAUACCUAUGAGUACUAUCCGGGAGACAGACUGCGGGUGCUAACGUCCGUAGUCAAGAGGAAAACAAUCCAGACCGCCAGCUAAGGCCCCAAAAUCAUAGUUAAGUGGGAAACGAUGUGGGAAGGCAUAGACAGCUAGGAGGUUGGCUUAGAAGCAGCCACCCUUUAAAGAAAGCGUAAUAGCUCACUAGUCGAGUCGGCCUGCGCGGAAGAUGUAACGGGGCUAAAACUAUGUGCCGAAGCUGCGGAUGUAUACUUUGUAUACGUGGUAGGGGAGCGUUCUGUAAGCCGAUGAAGGUGUGUUGAGAAGCAUGCUGGAGGUAUCAGAAGUGCGAAUGCUGACGUGAGUAACGACAAAACGGGUGAAAAACCCGUUCGCCGAAAGACCAAGGGUUCCAGUCCAACGUUAAUCGGGGCUGGGUGAGUCGACCCCUAAGGCGAGGCCGAAAGGCGUAGUCGAUGGGAAAAUGGUUAAUAUUCCAUUACUUCUGUGUAAUGCGAUGAGAGGACGGAGAAGGCUAAAUCAGCCUGGCGUUGGUUGUCCAGGUGAAAGGAUGUAGGCAUGUAUCUUAGGCAAAUCCGGGGUACUCUAUGCUGAGAUCUGAUAGCAAGCUGUACUUGUACAGCGAAGUGGUUGAUGCCAUGCUUCCAGGAAAAGUCUCUAAGCUUCAGUUACACAGGAAUCGUACCCGAAACCGACACAGGUGGUCAGGUCGAGUAGACCAAGGCGCUUGAGAGAACUCUGCUGAAGGAACUAGGCAAAAUGGUACCGUAACUUCGGGAGAAGGUACGCUGUUGUUGGUGAUGGAACUCGCUUCCUGAGCUGACGACAGCCGCAGAAACCAGGCCGCUGCAACUGUUUAUUAAAAACAUAGCACUCUGCAAACACGAAAGUGGACGUAUAGGGUGUGAUGCCUGCCCGGUGCUGGAAGGUUAAUUGAUGGGGUUAGCGUAAGCGAAGCUCUUGAUCGAAGCCCCAGUAAACGGCGGCCGUAACUAUAACGGUCCUAAGGUAGCGAAAUUCCUUGUCGGGUAAGUUCCGACCUGCACGAAUGGCAUAAUGAUGGCGGCGCUGUCUCCAGCAGAGGCUCAGUGAAAUCGAAAUCGCUGUGAAGAUGCAGUGUACCCGCGGCUAGACGGAAAGACCCCGUGAACCUUUACUGCAGCUUGACACUGAACUUUGACCUUACUUGUGUAGGAUAGGUGGGAGGCUUUGAAGCUGGAACGCUAGUUCCAGUGGAGCCGUCCUUGAAAUACCACCCUGGUAAUGUUGAGGUUCUAACUCUGUCCCGUGAUCCGGGACGAGGACCGUGUCUGGUGGGUAGUUUGACUGGGGCGGUCUCCUCCUAAAGAGUAACGGAGGAGUACGAAGGUGCGCUCAGCGUGGUCGGAAAUCACGCGUAGAGUAUAAAGGCAAAAGCGCGCUUAACUGCGAGACCCACAAGUCGAGCAGGUACGAAAGUAGGUCUUAGUGAUCCGGUGGUUCUGUAUGGAAGGGCCAUCGCUCAACGGAUAAAAGGUACUCUGGGGAUAACAGGCUGAUACCGCCCAAGAGUUCAUAUCGACGGCGGUGUUUGGCACCUCGAUGUCGGCUCAUCUCAUCCUGGGGCUGAAGCAGGUCCCAAGGGUAUGGCUGUUCGCCAUUUAAAGAGGUACGCGAGCUGGGUUUAGAACGUCGUGAGACAGUUCGGUCCCUAUCUACCGUGGGCGCUGGAAAUUUGAGAGGAUCUGCUCCUAGUACGAGAGGACCAGAGUGGACGAACCUCUGGUGUACCGGUUGUGACGCCAGUCGCAUCGCCGGGUAGCUAUGUUCGGAAGGGAUAACCGCUGAAAGCAUCUAAGCGGGAAGCCUACCUCAAGAUAAGAUUUCCCUAGGACUUUAUGUCCUCUAAAGAGCCGUUCGAGACUAGGACGUUGAUAGGUUGGAUGUGGAAGCAUAGUGAUAUGUGAAGCUGACCAAUACUAAUUGCUCGUGAGGCUUGACUAU
Molecule: ribosomal RNA, 2892 nt
Filed under: Acinetobacter baumannii AB5075
Lineage: Bacteria; Pseudomonadati; Pseudomonadota; Gammaproteobacteria; Moraxellales; Moraxellaceae
Description: bacterial LSU rRNA
Rfam family: Bacterial large subunit ribosomal RNA
Source: RNAcentral